CGCAUGCGUAGUGUACUGGUCAGCACGCUCGGCUCGCAACCGAGAAGCUCCGGGUUCGAGUCCCGGGCGCAGCGA
Non-coding RNA from Scylla paramamosain (green mud crab), 75 nucleotides. Lineage: Eukaryota; Metazoa; Arthropoda; Malacostraca; Decapoda; Portunidae. The record is from the annotation of a RefSeq genome assembly.